This 460-nucleotide ribosomal RNA is filed under the name uncultured bacterium. Its description in RNAcentral is "partial 16S ribosomal RNA". It matches the Rfam family "Bacterial small subunit ribosomal RNA", at positions 338 to 795 of the family's 1533-position model. The record is from RNAcentral.
CCUACGGGAGGCAGCAGUGAGGAAUAUUGGUCAAUGGGCGCGAGCCUGAACCAGCCAAGUAGCGUGAAGGAUGAAUGCCCUACGGUUCGUAAACUUCUUUUAUAAAGGAAUAAAGUGAGGCACGUGUGCCUUUUUGUAUGUACUUUAUGAAUAAGGAUCGGCUAACUCCGUGCCAGCAGCCGCGGUAAUACGGAGGAUCCGAGCGUUAUCCGGAUUUAUUGGGUUUAAAGGGAGCGUAGAUGGGUUGUUAAGUCAGUUGUGAAAGUUUGCGGCUCAACCGUAAAAUUGCAAUUGAUACUGGCAGUCUUGAGUACAGUUGAGGUAGGCGGAAUUCGUGGUGUAGCGGUGAAAUGCUUAGAUAUCACGAAGAACUCCGAUUGCGAAGGCAGCUUACUAAACUGCCACUGACAUUGAUGCUCGAAAGUGUGGGUAUCAAACAGGAUUAGAUACCCCAGUAGUC